This 460-nucleotide ribosomal RNA is filed under the name uncultured bacterium. Its description in RNAcentral is "partial 16S ribosomal RNA". It matches the Rfam family "Bacterial small subunit ribosomal RNA", at positions 338 to 795 of the family's 1533-position model. The record is from RNAcentral.
CCUACGGGAGGCAGCAGUGAGGAAUAUUGGUCAAUGGACGAGAGUCUGAACCAGCCAAGUAGCGUGAAGGAUGACUGCCCUAUGGGUUGUAAACUUCUUUUAUAUGGGAAUAAAAUGUUCCACGUGUGGGUUUUUGUAUGUACCAUAUGAAUAAGGAUCGGCUAACUCCGUGCCAGCAGCCGCGGUAAUACAGAGGAUCCGAGCGUUAUCCGGAUUUAUUGUGUUUAAAGGGAGCGUAGGUGGAUUGUUAAGUCAGUUGUGAAAGUUUGCGGCUCAACCGUAAAAUUGCAGUUGAAACUGGCAGUCUUGAGUACAGUAGAGGUGGGCGGAAUUCGUGGUGUAGCGGUGAAAUGCUUAGAUAUCACGAAGAACUCCGAUUGCGAAGGCAGCUCACUGGACUGCAACUGACACUGAGGCUCGAAAGUGUGGGUAUCAAACAGGAUUAGAUACCCCUGUAGUC